This 501-nucleotide ribosomal RNA is filed under the name uncultured bacterium. RNAcentral describes it as "bacterial SSU rRNA". It matches the Rfam family "Bacterial small subunit ribosomal RNA", at positions 28 to 514 of the family's 1533-position model. The record is from RNAcentral.
GAUGAACGCUAGCUACAGGCUUAACACAUGCAAGUCGAGGGGAAACGAUAGAGAAAGCUUGCUUUUUCUAGGCGUCGACCGGCGCACGGGUGAGUAACGCGUAUCCAACCUGCCCACCACUUGGGGAUAACCUUGCGAAAGUAAGACUAAUACCCAAUGACGUCUCUAGAAGACAUCUGAAAGGGAUUAAAGAUUUAUCGGUGAUGGAUGGGGAUGCGUCUGAUUAGCUUGUUGGCGGGGUAACGGCCCACCAAGGCGAUGAUCAGUAGCCGGUCUGAGAGGAAGGUCCCCCCACAUUGGAACUGAGACACGGUCCAAAACUCCUACGGGAGGCAGCAGUGAGGAAUAUUGGUCAAUGGGCGAGAGCCUGAACCAGCCAAGUAGCGUGCAGGAAGACGGCCCUAUGGGUUGUAAACUGCUUUUAUAGGGGAAUAAAGUGAGCCACGUGUGGUUUUUUGCAUGUACCCUAUGAAUAAGGACCGGCUAAUUCCGUGCCAGCAG